UCACUUACCUGGACGGGGUCAAUGGGCGAUCAAGAAGGUCCAUGGCCUAGGUUGGUGACCUCCAUUGCACUUUGGAGAGGUGCCCGCCUAAGGUCGGCCCAAGUGGUCGAGCCUACGUCAUAAUUUGUGGCAGUGGGGGCUUGCGUUCGCGCAGCCCCUGC
Molecule: small nuclear RNA, 161 nt
Filed under: Helianthus annuus (common sunflower)
Lineage: Eukaryota; Viridiplantae; Streptophyta; Magnoliopsida; Asterales; Asteraceae
Description: U1 spliceosomal RNA
Rfam family: U1 spliceosomal RNA
About the family: U1 is a small nuclear RNA (snRNA) component of the spliceosome (involved in pre-mRNA splicing). Its 5' end forms complementary base pairs with the 5' splice junction, thus defining the 5' donor site of an intron. There are significant differences in sequence and secondary structure between metazoan and yeast U1 snRNAs, the latter being much longer (568 nucleotides as compared to 164 nucleotides in human).
Source: RNAcentral